Passer domesticus (house sparrow) is the source of this 563-nucleotide long non-coding RNA. RefSeq lists it as uncharacterized. The transcript is spliced from 2 exons. NCBI's taxonomy places the organism in Eukaryota, Metazoa, Chordata, Aves, Passeriformes, Passeridae. The record is from RefSeq and is a predicted model, not a curated record.
CCAGGCUCUGCCCUGUGCCUACAGUCUGGGUUGCUGUUAACCCCUUUGCUUCCAGGGAAAAUUAUGGGCCCAUGAUCAGCUCUGGUCCAGCCCAGCAGGACCCUCAAAAUUUUUCUGCACAGCAGCUUCCUAGGCACAAGUCUUGGAUGCUUUUGAAUGGCAGAGGAAUCCUAGAGUUGACCUGCUACUCCCCUUAGGGCAAAGUCAUCUGAAACUUGAUAGGAAUGCACUCUAAUCCCACACUUAUUGGAUAAGACAGUCCCAGCAUUGUUACCAAACUCUGUGUAAAGAAUUUCCUCUUAAUUACCACCCUCCAAGCAUGAUUAUAUAAUAAUUUUAGCCAAUCUGGUUGUCCACCCAUUCAGACUGAAAAAGCACAAAUUGGAAAUCGGAAUUUUGUGGGAUACACUGUCAAAUCACAUUCUUCUCCUUCAUUUUCCCUGAAAUCAUAAUACAUAUUUUAUUUUCUACAGUUCAAAGUUUUUCUGCCUUUAAAUUCUUGGAAAACUGAAAAUUUUUUGCACACUGAACUGCAGCCAAAUAAAUUCUGAGUUUUGAAUGGA